Molecule: long non-coding RNA, 580 nt
Organism: Leptopilina heterotoma
Lineage: Eukaryota; Metazoa; Arthropoda; Insecta; Hymenoptera; Figitidae
Exons: 3
Source: RefSeq, a predicted model, not a curated record
AUUAAAUUUGUCAAUUGUUUCAGAUCUUUGAAAUUUUCGUUAUACUUCCAAUUCAUUAACAAAUAAAUUAUCUUUUGUUUACUAUUCCUAAAGAAAAACAGUGUAUAAUUGGGAUCGUAGUUUUUGAAGUUAAUUGGAUAAAUAACAGGUUAAAAGAGUUAAAAGUUUCCUGAAACGAAGAACGAGGAAGACGAAACGUCGCCUGAAGAUUUAUUUCCAUGGAAAAGUCCCAAGACUGUCUAAAUCAACUUGCAUUUGAAUUGAAUUCUCUUUUUCCUCAAUGUUGAGCACUUUCUGAUGAGAAAUUGCGAAUAAGGAAGCGAGGGAGGCAUCUAGUUUGUGCAAAUCUCCUUAACGGGACAGGGAGACAUGGUUGGAGCGAGAAUGAAAGAUAUUAUCAUCGUCCCCCGAAGGCAAACUACAUUGACUCAUAAAUUGAACAGUGCUAUAAAUCAUUUGCAGUUUUGGUGAGAUUUACUGAUUUAGCAGGCUGAUACUUAAGAGGAUUAAAUUCGUCAGAGAUGCGGCCGCGUGAUUAUUCAGAUCAAUUUGUGCCAUUAUGAAUAGGUCGAAACCUCAU